Cydia pomonella (codling moth) is the source of this 4313-nucleotide long non-coding RNA. RefSeq lists it as uncharacterized. The transcript has 2 exons. Lineage: Eukaryota; Metazoa; Arthropoda; Insecta; Lepidoptera; Tortricidae. The record is from RefSeq and is a predicted model, not a curated record.
AAUUAUGAAGUUUACUUAAUACUUGCACAGGCUGGGCUAUCAAAAUCGUUACCAACUUAGCUUGGUCUGACUCUACAUGUAUGUCAUUCGCGUCUUAUGGCGUCUUUACUUUCAAUUCAGUUUUGGCGGUGUGGUGGAAAUACUACAUAGACAUGGCCACAUACUUACAUAUUUAUAUGAACUGUUGAAAUCUUAUUUUAAGCUGUCACGUAGUCAGGUAACUGCUAAUUAAUAUGGUCGUGGUCAUACUAGUAGAUAUCUGGAUCGGAGUCGAUCGUCGGUUCUUCCUCGACCAAGCACCUGCCAACAAGAAAUUGCCGCCAAACAGUCUAGGCGACCAUCUGCUACUCUAUAUCUAACGAAUUCAUUAAACUUACCUACUUUAUAUUCAUCAACAAAUAUCUGGUUUAUAAAUCAGACUUUACUACAUUUAUAAACCAGAUAUUUUGCAUACUAAACGCUUCAAGCAGAUCCCAUUUCAAUAAAAUUAGCAUCUGGCCGUACCAUACGAGUAUAUGUAUAGACGUAAAUAGUUAGCUGGCUGACCUAUUAAACCAAAAUGAGAAACCUUGAAAAUACUAAUGAGACGGAUUUUAUCGUUGUUGAAAUUAUAAACAACAGUUUUCAACAUAUUGACAAGGCACCAGCCUAAGUACCUAAGAACAAAUGUAUAGUAAGACCAUUUUUAAAAUGCACAAGCCUAUAAGGGUUUGGAAUUGGCUCUUAGGACAAUCAAAACAGAUUUUUUUAAAGAAUGAAUUUCCAGCAAGCUGGAAAUAAUUUUAAUACACUCAUUUGGUGCUCAAUGCGUGUAAUCCGUCGUUGCGCAGUCCCAGAAGGUGAGCAAAUAUGUUUGAUUCAGUUUUUUGCUUGUAGCUCGAAAACGGUACGUCUGACGGAAAAUCGGAAAGGUACCUUAAUAUGAAUUCUUCGUCAAAGUUGUACAAAAUGGCCGCUAUUUUAAAUUUCUUUAUUUUUGACAGAGUCUGAACCAAGGCAGCGUGAUAGCCCGGAAUGUCUGGACUACUUUACGUUUACUUAACACUUGCACUACGUCAUAAUGUCAUAGAAGAUUGACGUUUAAAAUUACACGUGCACCAUGCUUGGUCUGACUAUAGAGUCAACCAUUUCACCAGUGUCUUACCACAAAACCUUGCUAUUAGUGAUUGUUGGUUCCUUCUACAUCGAGUAGUUUGGCAAUCCAGGGAAAAAUGUAUCUCCUAAGGUCCCAAAAAUUAUGCACACCCCCUGAGAUUGCGCAAACUCGGUCUACGCGCAUUUCGGAUCAAAUUAAGGUAUAGAAACGAUUACCAGCUUGCUGGGAAUUCAUUACUGAAAACACUUUUAUUUGAUCUAAUUUCAUUGGUGGCUCUUCUAAUAUUUAUUAGAGAAGAUCUGUCGUAUCUGGAUCAUGAUCCGAAUAGUUCCAUUCAUACUGAUCGGAUCCUGAGGGCCUACCGCGAACCACGUUCGACAUGUUGCCUCUCUGUCGCACUUGUAAAUUCGCACGUAAGUGUAACAGGGAGGCAACACGUCGAACGUGGCUCGUGGUAGGCCCUCUGGUUCCAAACACUAACCACGUCUAAUCGAUACAUUUAGAUGUGAACAUAAAAACAUUAGAGGAGUGACAUUUUAAGAUUGUUUAAACUCUAAAAGCAGAAGUACCCUUUACGGAUUUACUAAGAUUUUUGUAGUCGAAUAAUAAACGCCACCCCAGCAGUCAGUUGUAAUUGUAAUAUUUCAGCUUGAGGUCUUCUUCUUCUCUAAGAUGCAGAGCUCCGUUGUAAUAAUAAUAAUAAGCCCCCAGGGCAGCUUGUGGCGAGCUGAAUGGGAAGUGACGUCCCUUGGGUCCCGUACCCCCGAGAGUCGGCCAGGUCCCUCUCCGGCUUGCCUUGAUUGGCCGGCUGGAGUGAACACUGAGCAGGGGACGCGGGACUCUCACCUCUGGCUUGCCUUUACCGGCCGUCCAGAGUGGGGUGUCAGAGCUAUAAGCUCGCAGGGUGGAAGUGAAAUUUGCAUAAGACGCGAGUUGGCACAGUGGCUGCUUACAGCCACUGGGUAGAAAGCGGCGUACACCUCUCCACACCCUGAGCCGCUCACGCAAUGUUGUCCCCUUGUCGCUCCGUGCGAGCGGCCGUUUUCGGGGACCCAUAUUGUGAGUUGGCAAGUCACCACCUGCCCAUUUUGUCGUGUUUUUAAAAACAUAUGAUCAGGGCAGGUGCCAUAGUAUUCUCCAUAGUCUCGGUUACCAGUCCACUUGCAACUCAACCCAAUAGCCCGGUUUAUUUUGGUACCCUUUUUUUUACAAUAGUCCUACAAUAACCGGGGCUUGUCCUUGGGUGCACUGCUAUAGUGUGAACAGGGAUAAUCGUCGGUUGGUGUCACGUUACAUUUAGAGUAAAUUGUCUUAUUACAAGGGGCCUCUACGUGUUGGCUUCGGCCCCACGCACGCCUUUCAAAUGUCCGAGAUCCCAUGGUCCCGAGAAUUUGUAAAAGACAGACAAUAAUAAUAAUAAAAUACUUUAUUGUGCACUACAAAGAAAUAUACAUGUUACAAACAAAAAAAAAGGACAUAAGUAAGUAGGUAACAACAGGCGGACUUAUCGCUAAAAAGCGAUCUCUUCCACUUUGUACUUAGUUUAUAGGUUCUAAAGUAUAAUGUUAUCAUUCAAACAUUUUCAGGUGUAACUGUGUAUUAUAGAAAUCAGUAGAGUGAUAUAUUUUCAAAUAAGCAUCAUGUCCCUUAGGUAGGUACUUGUGGUUGGAAACUAAUCGUAGCUGCAGUAGUUAGCUUGUAAGUACUGCGUAGUAGGUGGUUGUUACCUACCUGUAUUAAUUAUUGCUGAGCGGUAAUUGGCCCUGCGUCGCUGCACCGGCGCUGUUGUUUCUGCGGCCAUCGAUGCGCCUACACAAUGUAUAGUAUCACGUCUAAUUAACUUGUUGUUGUUACCUACGUACUGUAGAUUGCUGAUACAAUCAUGUGUUAACAUAUCAUGCUUAUUAGCGCAUACACACACUGACCUACUUAUUACAGACUUCAUUUACAAAAAUUGCACCAUGUAAAAUUAUUAGGCGGUGUUAAAAACUUCAUCCUUAUUUUUAAUUUCUUGUAUUCUAUUUCUUACAAAUUUUUAUUUAGAAGCUAGACAUUUUACUACAUGCAAUUCUGUCAACUGUACUCUAUGGUCUCUCCCCGACGUAUAAACCGCGUUAGUGUCACUGACGUCACUGUUACAAAAGUGAUUUUGACACCAACGAACUGGCCCAAUCUGUAGUGCCCGUAAGGCCAGUCUAUGAGUGCGGGUUGUCUUUUAGGUUUUUAGAAGGGCACGGUGCGUUUAGUGUCGCAAGGCUAGAUUGUCGCUUAAUCGAAUGUAUGUAGAUAAUUGAAUCGAGCAAAGCUGUUGGUAACUUGUUAUAAUGCCUAAUAACGAGCAUAAUAUGCAAAUAUAUGAAGGUUGAAGAAAAUCUGGAUCCGUGCUUGUACUAUAAUCGGAAUCGGUACUGAACGGAUAAUCGCGUCGUCGCGUAGUGGACUGCGAGGCAUGUGCAGUCGCUGGACUAUCUGCCACUUCACACUUCACUUCAUCCCGUGCUUUCAAUGUACGCUACUGUACUUGCCGAAUUAGAGUUCGCCCUUUUUAGGAUAAACUUGACUACAAAAGCAUUCAAAAGCACUUGUCUAUUACCUGCGUGUUUGUGUCAGGUGCUUGGUCAGGUGUAUGAUUAGCAAUGUACCCGUCCAAUAUGUGAAUGAACAGAAUAUAAACCACAACCAGAAAUUAGGUUCCAUUCUGGUUAACUUCCAGAAACAGGACAAGAUCUUUUUCUAUGUCUCUAUGACGCAUUUAUGUGAUUUCCUUAUCAAUUACUAAAAUGUACGAUGUAAGUUAUAACAUAGCGCACAUAGUGACGACCUGGGGAGCAUAUUUAAAAGUCUAUUUUAAAUUUUAUAUUAUAGAUAGUUUAGUUAGUUUACGCUGGUGGCCUAGCGGUAAGAGCGUAUGCGACUUGCAAUCCGGAGGUCGCGGGUUCAAACCCCGGCUCGUACCAAUGAAUUUUUCGGAACUUAUGUACGAAAUAUCAUUUGAUAUUUACCAGUCGCUUUUCGGUGAAGGAAAACAUUGUCAGGAAACCGGACUAAUCCCAACAAGGCCUAGUUUACCCUCUGGGUUGGAAGAGCAGAUGGCAGUCGCUUUCGUAAAAAUUAGUGCCUACGCCAAAUCUUGGGAUUAGUUGUCAAGCGGACCCUAGGCUCCCAUGAGCCGUGGCAAAAUGCCGGGACAACGCGAGGAAGAAGAAGAUAGUUUAGU